GAAAAGAUUAUUAUUAUUAUUUACAAUUAUAUAUUAUUAUAUUAUUUAAUAUUAAUUAUGAAGCGUAAUCAUAAUCGUGAAUUGUUAAAAAAAUAAAAUAUUGAGGUAUAUGCCUAUAAUAACGUCCUUCAUUAGAGAACAAUUUUCAUAUCUAUAUAUAUAACAUUAUAUUAAAUAUGAAAACUUAAGGUAAUGCCAGUUCAAGAUGUACUUUCAAAUUAAAUGUCAAGACUAAAUUCUUAUAAAUUGUAUCUAAACAGGCUUAGCUGGGCAAGUCGAAAAUAUUUGGUAUCAUUUCAUCAAGAUGGCAUAUUUAUAGACAGGUUAUAGUGGCAAGUGAAAGAACAGUUAAUUCUAUAAACAAGGCAACAGUGGUUCUUCACAAUUUUAUUAAAAAUAAAGAGAUAGAAUCUGGUAUUAAAUUUCUAUCUUUGGUAAAUAUUUUAAAACUAAUAUAAUUUAGGUAUAGUCUUACCAUCAGUCGCUAGUCGACAUAGAAUACAAAUCUUCAAAAUUAUGGUCUAAUGCCAGUUUCAAGAAUUGGUUCCAAUUUUUAUGAUAGAGAGGCAAAGGAAAUAAGGCCCAAUUGAAAUAUGCUUUAAUACAGAAGGAGAAGUACUGUUCCAGUACAACUAUAUAUGACAAGACAGUUUAAUAAUAUCUUAACAAUAUUAUUUAUAAAAUUUGAAUAUAAUGAAAAAAAAUUAUUUUUAACAAUAUAUGUAAAAUAUUAU
Non-coding RNA from Cinara cedri, 734 nucleotides. Lineage: Eukaryota; Metazoa; Arthropoda; Insecta; Hemiptera; Aphididae. The record is from the annotation of a GenBank genome assembly.